GUCAGUGUGAUGGAGUGGUUUGAAUGUUGGACUACAAUUCUGGAGACCAAGGUUCAAAUCCCUGCUCAGCCA
Non-coding RNA from Phrynosoma platyrhinos (Desert horned lizard), 72 nucleotides. The record is from the annotation of a GenBank genome assembly. NCBI's taxonomy places the organism in Eukaryota, Metazoa, Chordata, Lepidosauria, Squamata, Phrynosomatidae.